This 1074-nucleotide long non-coding RNA is filed under the name Danio rerio (zebrafish). RNAcentral's name for it is "lncRNA (ENSDARG00000117731.1)". Lineage: Eukaryota; Metazoa; Chordata; Actinopteri; Cypriniformes; Danionidae. The record is from RNAcentral.
CUAUUAUCUAUAUGUGUGUGUGUGUUUGUGUUUACGUGCUUAAUAAACCCUAUUUAUAAAGGGCAGAAGUUUGCUGAAUGAGCAUUUAGAGCGACCCAACAAUUGUGAUUGAGGGAAACGGGCUGGACGUCCCAUCACUAAACACUUGCUGAUUCAUAAUCUGCAUUUUUAUUUGCCCAGUUUGAAAUGUUUGGAUUAGAUCAAUUCUUGACCUCAUCGCUCAGCUUCCGGGUCCUUCAUUAAAGACGCUGAAACAUCUGGAGUCUCGUCCUCGUUGUGUCUUGAACAAAGACAUGUUCAGACUGUGUUAGUCUGCAGGCCGCUGAGCUGAUCUCCAAUGAAAAACAGACCUGCUGGCAAAUCAAAACAUCCUUUCCAGAAUUAAACAUAUUACCACAGGAAUAAACAAUCCGCUCCGAUGACCAGGGAUUGCUGUCUGCACUCGGCAUGCUGAUCGAAAGAAACGAUAUCACUAGCACUGUGAACACAUCUCGCUUUUAUAUUUGCAGAAGUAGAGGACCUGAAGGAGAACAGGCAGUACAGAGGGAGCAGAGAGAGUCUAAAACAUUGAUUUUUUUACCAUUUUUUAAUCAUAUUUUUCAUCGUGAACACAUCUCGCUUUUAUAUUUCCUGAAGAGAAGGACCUGGAGGAGAACCGGGAGGACAGAGGGGGCAGAGAGUGUCUAAAACACUGUUUUUCUUUUACCACUUUUUUCCAUCGUGGACACAUCUCGCUCUUUCAUAUUUGCAGAAGAAGAGGACCUGAAGGAGAACAGGGAGGACAGAGGGAGCAGAGAGAGUCUAAAACAUUGGUGUGUGACACUAUAAAUUAAUAAAAUACAGUAGUUUACUGUAAAAUAUUAGAUUUUCAGGGUUUCUACAACUUUAACUAAAAUUCUGGCAGCUUAUCAAAAUAAGUUAAAGCAGCAUAAAAAUAUUUGUUGUCAUAACACUUUUUACGGUGUAGUUUACUGUAAUUGUUUGGUGUUUUGAUAGUUUUUACCGCUUUUUUUUACGGUAAACCUUCUGGAUUUUUAAAUGUUGUGAUUGGAUAUAUACCUCAGUCAUGUGACA